This 342-nucleotide ribosomal RNA is filed under the name uncultured myxomycete. Its description in RNAcentral is "bacterial SSU rRNA". It matches the Rfam family "Eukaryotic small subunit ribosomal RNA", at positions 76 to 410 of the family's 1831-position model. Lineage: Eukaryota; Evosea; Eumycetozoa. The record is from RNAcentral.
UCUCUCUGAAUCUGCGUACGGCUCAUUAAAUCAGUUAUAGUUUAAGUGGUGUUACCUUUUUUUUACUACUUGGAUGACCGUAGUAACAUAGAGCUAAUACAUGCAAAUACUCCUGACAGCAAUGAAAGGAGGCACUUAUUAGAUUACAAACCAAUCCAUGUAAAAGUGGCAUUAGGUGAUUCAUAGUAAGGUUGGAAAUCGUAUGGGAGUAAUCCUGACGAUGUACCACUCAAGUUUCUGCCCUAUCAACUUUGGAUGGUAGUAUAGAGGACUACCAUGGUGAUAACGGGUAACGGAGAAUUAGGGUUCGAUUCCUGGAGAGUGGGCCUGAGAGAUUGUUAG